Molecule: ribosomal RNA, 1343 nt
Filed under: uncultured bacterium
Lineage: Bacteria
Description: 16S ribosomal RNA
Rfam family: Bacterial small subunit ribosomal RNA
Source: RNAcentral
CGCUGGCGGCGUGCUUAACACAUGCGAGUCGAACGAUGAAGCCUAGCUUGCUAGGUGGAUUAGUGGCGAACGGGUGAGUAAUACGUGAGUAACCUACCUUUAACUCUGGGAUAAGCCUGGGAAACUGGGUCUAAUACCGGAUACGACCAAUCUCCGCAUGGGGUGUUGGUGGAAAGCGUUAUGUAGUGGUUAUAGAUGGGCUCACGGCCUAUCAGCUUGUUGGUGAGGUAACGGCUCACCAAGGCGACGACGGGUAGCCGGCCUGAGAGGGUGACCGGCCACACUGGGACUGAGACACGGCCCAGACUCCUACGGGAGGCAGCAGUGGGGAAUAUUGCACAACGGGCGCAAGCCUGAUGCAGCGACGCCGCGUGAGGGAUGACGGCCCUCGGGUUGUAAACCUCUGUUAGCAGGGAAGAAGAGAGAUUGACGGUACCUGCAGAGAAAGCGCCGGCUAACUACGUGCCAGCAGCCGCGGUAAUACGUAGGGCGCGAGCGUUGUCCGGAAUUAUUGGGCGUAAAGAGCUUGUAGGGCGGUUUGUCGCGUCUGCUGUGAAAGGCCGGAGCUUAACUCCGUGUAUUGCAGUGGGUACGGGCAGACUAGAGUGCAGUAGGGGAGACUGGAAUUCCUGGUGUAGCGGUGGAAUGCGCAGAUAUCAGGAGGAACACCGAUGGCGAAGGCAGGUCUCUGGGCUGUAACUGACGCUGAGAAGCGAAAGCAUGGGGAGCGAACAGGAUUAGAUACCCUGGUAGUCCAUGCCGUAAACGUUGGGCACUAGGUGUGGGGGACAUUCCACGUUUUCCGCGCCGUAGCUAACGCAUUAAGUGCCCCGCCUGGGGAGUACGGCCGCAAGGCUAAAACUCAAAGAAAUUGACGGGGGCCCGCACAAGCGGCGGAGCAUGCGGAUUAAUUCGAUGCAACGCGAAGAGCCUUACCAAGGCUUGACAUAUACUGGACUGCAUCAGAGAUGGUGUUUCCCUUCGGGGCUGGUAUACAGGUGGUGCAUGGUUGUCGUCAGCUCGUGUCGUGAGAUGUUGGGUUAAGUCCCGCAACGAGCGCAACCCUCGUUCUAUGUUGCCAGCACGUUAUGGUGGGGACUCAUAGGAGACUGCCGGGGUCAACUCGGAGGAAGGUGGGGAUGACGUCAAAUCAUCAUGCCCCUUAUGUCUUGGGCUUCACGCAUGCUACAAUGGCCGGUACAGAGGGUUGCGAUACUGCGAGGUGGAGCUAAUCCCUAAAAGCCGGUCUCAGUUCGGAUUGGGGUCUGCAACUCGACCCCAUGAAGUCGGAGUCGCUAGUAAUCGCAGAUCAGCAACGCUGCGGUGAAUACGUUCCCGGGCCU